This 216-nucleotide small nucleolar RNA is filed under the name Cucumis melo (muskmelon). RNAcentral's name for it is "Plant small nucleolar RNA U3". It matches the Rfam family "Plant small nucleolar RNA U3". Rfam says of the family: Small nucleolar RNAs (snoRNAs) are involved in the processing and modification of rRNA in the nucleolus. Lineage: Eukaryota; Viridiplantae; Streptophyta; Magnoliopsida; Cucurbitales; Cucurbitaceae. The record is from Rfam by way of RNAcentral. RNAcentral also lists the same sequence under 1 other name.
ACGACCUUACUUGAACAGGAUCUGUUCUAUAGGUUGUACAUCUGUGUCCUUGAGUUCUAAGGAGACAAGAACCAAAACAAAGUCUGGUGGAUGAUCUACUGCCUUGAGGCUAGAGCGUGAUUAACGGUUCAACAGGCCUUGGUCUGGCGGCUAUAGAGGAUCGUUCUUGGCAGGCUUACCACCUGCUGAGAUGGCCCCAAGGCGGUCUGACAGACU